Molecule: unclassified non-coding RNA, 384 nt
Filed under: uncultured bacterium
Lineage: Bacteria
Description: contains 16S-23S intergenic spacer region
Source: RNAcentral
UCCGGUUUGUCACCGGCAGUCUCAUUAGAGUGCCCAACUUAAAUGUAGCAACUAAUGACAAGGGUUUCGCUCGUUAAGGGACUUAACCCGACACUUCACAGCACGAGCUGACGACAGCCAUGCAGCACCUGUGCACGUUCCACCCUUGCGGGUGUGGCCCCGUUUUCACGGGGUUAAUCCGUGCAUGUCAAGCCCUGGAUAAGGUUCUUCGCGUUGCUUCGAAUUAAGCCACAUGCUCCACCGCUUGUGUGAGCCCCCGUCAAUUCCUUUGAGUUUUAGCCUUGCGGCCGUACUCCCCAGGCGGGGUGCUUAAUGCGUUAGCUUCGGCACGGAGGGAGUCGACACCCCCCACACCUAGCACCCAUCGUUUACGGCGUGGACUAC